AGAGUUUGAUCCUGGCUCAGAACGAACGCUGGCGGCGUGGAUAAGACAUGCAAGUUGAACGGUUGAUAUAGGGUAGCAAUAUUCUGUAUCAGCAGUGGUGUAAGGGUGCUUAACACGUGGGUAAUCUGCCGCGAAGUGUGGGAUAACUCGCUGAAAGGCGAGCUAAUACCGCAUGUGAUUUUCUUGAGGCAUCUCAGGGAAUUCAAACAUGGGUCGCAAGGCCUGUGGUUUCGCGAUGAGCCCGCGGCCUAUCAGCUAGUUGGCGGGGUAAAGGCCCACCAAGGCUAAGACGGGUAGCUGGUCUGAGAGGACGACCAGCCACACUGGAACUGAGACACGGUCCAGACACCUACGGGUGGCAGCAGUCGAGAAUUUUUCACAAUGGGGGAAACCCUGAUGGAGCGACGCCGCGUGGGGGAUGAAGGGCUUCGGCUCGUAAACCCCUGUCAUUGGCGAACAAGUGUUGCGUCCUAAUACGGCGCAACUUGAUAGUAGCCGAAGAGGAAGGGACGGCUAACUCUGUGCCAGCAGCCGCGGUAAUACAGAGGUCCCGAGCGUUGUUCGGAUUCACUGGGCGUAAAGGGUGCGUAGGUGGUUGGUUAAGUUUGAGGUGAAAGCUCCGAGCUCAGCUCGGAAAAUGCCUUGAAGACUAUCUGACUAGAGGAUUGGAGGGGAGACUGGAAUUCUCGGUGUAGCAGUGAAAUGCGUAGAUAUCGAGAGGAACACCAGUGGCGAAGGCGAGUCUCUGGACAAUUCCUGACACUG
This 765-nucleotide ribosomal RNA is filed under the name uncultured Verrucomicrobiota bacterium. Its description in RNAcentral is "bacterial SSU rRNA". It matches the Rfam family "Bacterial small subunit ribosomal RNA", at positions 8 to 748 of the family's 1533-position model. Lineage: Bacteria; Pseudomonadati; Verrucomicrobiota. The record is from RNAcentral.